CCCUUAGAUGUUCUGGGCCGCACGCGUGCUACACUGGUACAAUCACUAAGUUUCUGAGUAGUUAUGCUUGGGCAAUCUUGAAAACUGUACCGUGACGGGGCUUGACUGUUGAAAUUUUCUGUCACUAACGAGGAAUUCCUAGUAAAUGUGGGUCAUGAACUCACGUUGAUUACGUCCCUGCCCUUUGUACACACCGCCCGUCGCUCCUACCGAUUGAAUGUUCCGGUGAGCUCUUCGGACUGCGCGGUCUGCAGUUUCUGCGUUCCGUGCGGAAAGUUGCGCAAACCUUAACAUUUAGAGGAAGGAGAAGUCGUAACA
RNAcentral lists this ribosomal RNA (318 nucleotides) under uncultured eukaryote. Its description in RNAcentral is "partial 18S ribosomal RNA". It matches the Rfam family "Eukaryotic small subunit ribosomal RNA", at positions 1470 to 1796 of the family's 1831-position model. The record is from RNAcentral.